Triticum aestivum (bread wheat) is the source of this 115-nucleotide non-coding RNA. NCBI's taxonomy places the organism in Eukaryota, Viridiplantae, Streptophyta, Magnoliopsida, Poales, Poaceae. The record is from Rfam.
AACCUAUUUCUUCCGUUCCGAAUAACUUGUCACAAGUAUGGAUGUAUCUAGAUGUAUUUUAAUUUUAGAUACAUCAAUUUCUGCGACAAGUAAUUUGGAACGGAGGAAGUAUAAG